Molecule: long non-coding RNA, 380 nt
Filed under: Setaria italica (foxtail millet)
Lineage: Eukaryota; Viridiplantae; Streptophyta; Magnoliopsida; Poales; Poaceae
Description: long non-coding RNA (SITA_LNC005838)
Source: RNAcentral
CAUCAUCCAAAUUAAAGAGGCUCUUCGCUGCAUUUCAUUUAAAAUCUGAUGAAGCAGACGCCUUGCCCCUCCAUCAUACUGCAUAAAGGGAACAAUUAGGAUGUUCCAGAACCAGAACCUUAUCUAAUUGUGCAUAACACAAGUUCUGAAGUUCCACCUCUUUCUGCACUCUGUUGCGUAUGUUCUGAAACUCCUCGCAGCACACUCUUCAUCUCUCUAAUCCUCUCCCACCACACCUUCUGCGAAAAAACACCAGAACAUAAAGCAACAAGGAGGCCCAAAUUAACAACCAAGCUAUUUGACACAAUGUAAAAUUAGAUUCGUCAAUUAGCUAGAUUUGUUGAGAUUAGACCUCAGAAAGAAUACCAUAUAAAAUAGAU